AUGUGUGGCCACACAAUGAAGGAUCGAGUCCGAAAUGAUGAUAUAAGGGAUAGAGUUGGGGUAGCACCAAUUGAAGAGAAGCUUGUCCAGCAUCAUCUGAGAUGGUUUGGGCAUAUUCAGUGCAGGCCAGUGCAUAGCGGACGGCUAAAGCGUGCUGAUUAUAUCAAGAGAGGUCGGGGUAGACCAAAGUUGACAUGGGAGGAGUCCGUAAAGAGAGAUCUGAAGGACUGGAAGUUCACGAAAGAACUAGCCAUGGGCAGGGGUGCAUGGAAGCUAGCUAUCCAUGUGCCAGAACCAUGA
Molecule: ribosomal RNA, 300 nt
Filed under: Triticum aestivum (bread wheat)
Lineage: Eukaryota; Viridiplantae; Streptophyta; Magnoliopsida; Poales; Poaceae
Description: partial small subunit ribosomal RNA
Source: RNAcentral